This is a long non-coding RNA of Diorhabda sublineata, 2874 nucleotides long. RefSeq lists it as uncharacterized. The record is from RefSeq and is a predicted model, not a curated record. The transcript is spliced from 2 exons. NCBI's taxonomy places the organism in Eukaryota, Metazoa, Arthropoda, Insecta, Coleoptera, Chrysomelidae.
UUCUUCACAUUACUGUAUUUAUAGUAUUUCAAUGUUUAAGCAUUAAUGAAUGAUGUUGUCUGUUGAAAAUUAUGAACAAAAAAGAAGAUAUCAUUCUUCUUGUUUAUUAAAAUAUUCAGGAAUCUAUGUGAGGAUCAUUUGGAUGUAGGAUAAGGGAUAUAGGAGGGAGGUUUUUUGGAGUUGGCCCUGAUAUAGCAGUUGCUCUCUGCAGAGCAGGGGUUGUGUUUGCUAUCCUGGCUGGAAAGAGGAAAAGUGAACGACAUUUGUCAGAAGAAAACGAAAAGAGAGCUCUAGUAAGUAAAUAUAAUUCUUCUGGGUUUGGGGAUUUUUUUGUAAGUUUUGUGGUUUUUUUAUUUUUAAAAAAUUUAAAUGGGGGGCGGGCACCUAGACUUUUUAAUGAUAUUCCUUUUCUAACAGUUUACUUCUUCUUCCCUGUUCUUCCAAGGGUCAUUUUCCAAUCAUCUAUAUUCACAUUUUGAAUGUAAGAAAACUGAAUAUCAAAUUUUUAAAGAAGGAAUUAAAGUUUCUGGGCAAAUAUUAUGAAUCCCAAACCAAAAAUGAUAUUAUGAUAUUCCAGGACAGUCAAUUGGAUUCGGGGACUUUUUCAGGAUGUUCUUCAAAUUUUAUAUUUUCAGCAACCUUGAAUUGUUGUGGUUAAUUAUUACACACUUUUUCAAAAUAAUUUUUAGAGCUGCACUAAUCGGUGCCCAUUUAUGACCUUUUGUUUAUUUUUUGCACAUCACUUUGACAUGUUUUUUAUUUUGGGCUCUAUUUCACUGCAAAUUCAAAUCCUUUCGGUUUUUAUCGAUUCUAAUGAGAAUGAAAUUAACAAUGUGAUGCUAAAACUGACCUAAUCAGAUUUUUUCAAAAUUUAAGGAAGGAAUAAAUGAAUAAAUAAAAGACUCAUUAUUCUAUGAUAUAUUACAUUAACAUAAUUAAAUAAAUGAUAAAAUAUAGAUACAAAAUCAUUUUAAAUAUAAUUAACUAAUCUCCCUAGUACAGAGGAAAUUUCUCAUUUAAUCUGCACUCCAAUAUAUUCCCAAUGUCGAAUCAAUUGAAAAUUUGUCCUCAAAACAUGUUAAAAUGCCUAAUGUUCAUGCGCCAUGCAGUGUAAAUAAUGCAACAAAAACUGAUAAGGGGUGUACCAAAAAAAUGUUCCAGCUUGACACAUUUUGAGUAAAAAUUUUGCAUCCACAAAUAAAAUCCACCAAAUAGAGACAGUAUUGCAACUUUUUUCGUUAUUUUUUUAAAACACCCCGUAUAUACCGCGUGUCUUUGAAAUAUAACAUGUUUGUGUUAAGUAACAACCAACACUACCAAAAAAAUGUGUAUUCACGGGAUAACAUUGCUUCUGUACUUCCCAAAUUUAAUCUUAGAAUUUGUCUUAUGAAAUGACUCAUAAAAUGGAAAUGUAAUAUUGAAAGAAAUUCAUUAAUUACUCAGUAAUGACCAUAGGGGCAACAACCUUGAGUUGAAUGUAGAAAAAACUAAAAUACUGCUGAAAAAUAUCAGUCAAAAUAAAGGUAAUAAAUAUAUACACAAUAGUAGAUCAACUUACAGGGCUUUAGUGAGGAAAGGAACAUCAUAAGUAACUUGUUCUGGUAGGGGUGGUACCACAGCGAACCCCUAAGUAACUCUUAGGUAUAUUAGGUGAGGUGAAGAAAAAUCCAAACCAGAAUCUUUUAUGAAAGGGCUAGUGUCAAGACUAUGAAGUCUAAUUAGAAAGAUAGGUCCAUAAACAGAACUUUAAGAUAUUGCAGUGGUACAGAACAUCUUCCUGAGAAACAGUUGAAAGACUAAUAAAAAAACCAAAGAAAACUUUAGGAUCUGAAAAGAUGUUAAAAGAACCAAAUAACUUGAUCGAGUUUCAUUUCUAUAUUUGAUUUUUCAGUUUCGUCAUAAUUUUUAGUAUCAAUGAUUAAUAAUAUCAUAAUUUCCAAAGACACACGAUAAAAAGCCAUACAUAUAUUUAUAUUUAAUAACAUACGUCCGCUAUAGAAAAAUAGUCCUUAAAAAUACUUUAUACAAGUGAAUAAAAAUUAAUUGAGACGUUUUUUUGUUUGUUUGUUUGUUUGUUGUAUACAAAUCUUUCCGAAUCAAUUCAAUGUUCACAUUCGCAUCAGCAUUUUUGUUAGCUAAGUAUCUGUCUGAUUUCUUUGUGCAUGUGACAUAAGAAAUCUACAUAGCUAGCAGAACCGUCUACGCCACGAUCUUCUACUAAGAAAUGUUUAAAGACAGGUUCCAAUUUCUCCCUUUGUCUAACUAGUGUUAACUGAAAAAAUAAGAGACAAAUUAUUUUUUUUUUAUCAUAUAGGUAGAAGCUGACAAAACAAUUUUAAUUGAUUUGCUCUUGAGACUAUACAGUUCAAUUCAAUAAAAGUGUAGAUUUAAUUGUAAACCUACUAUAAACUCUAGAAGCAAAAAAACAAGCAACUAAAGGUGGGAUAUUGGAAUAUGGAAGAAGUUAACGUAUCAGAAAUAGCCUAAGUUUCUUUAGAAUUAUAUCGAAAAUAUCUUCCUGGCAAAGAAAUAGAUACUGAAAGAUAUGAAAACACAAAUUUUUAAAAAAGUAGCCUCAUUUUUGGGGACAACAAUGCAAAGCCAAAGAGAUGAGAAGAUAAAAAGGACGACUGAGAAAAAUAUGGAAAGUGGUUGAUAUAGCAGCGGAAAAAGAAACAUAAAAUGUAGAGGGAUAAGAAAGAAAGUAGUAAUGGAGGAGUGAUACUAUCUCAUAACUAGAUUCUUCAUACCCCUUAAAGGUAAAAAGGUUUAAGAAUAGGUAAGUUAUAUUUUGAGACAAUUAGUUUACAGGUUGUCCGUUUGCAUUUUAUCCAAAAUGUAUAAUGCUGACAGAUAAUAAAAAAAGUACAAUUU